AUCUCUGGAGAGAGGAAGCAGGGUAAACACUUCACUAUCUCUUUGUAUGCAAUCUCUGCAUUGAAAAUUUUUUCUCUUUUCAGAGGAAAAGUUAAAAUGACCAAUCUAUGUUUUUGAGCGAAGUCAUGAAGAUUAGGUACUAACUAAAUGUGGAACAUUACUUUAUAUUCUCUGUGUUUUCAUUUGUUUAAUUUCCUUAAGGAUGCUGCAUGUGAUGACUGAUGAUGGAUUUGGCAGCUGUAAGCUAAGGAGAUCCAUUCUUGGAUAUGGUCCUUGUGGAUAACCUUUUAUUCUCCUAGCAUGUGCUCCUAUAAAAGUGGUUAUUUAAUGCAUACGUAAAUUUAGUAUGUGCCCCAUUUGCAUGGAAAGUUUUCAUUUAACAUUUGCCUAUAUCAACUUUAAGGAUCUGUUACAGAUGAAUUGGUAAGAAAUAAAGAUCUUCGUAUGUGUUUUUGAAAUUUUGGUAUACUAUGAUGCGUCGAGUUCUUGCAUCUUUCAGUUUCUGUCCUUGCAACACUGUAUGUUUCUCCUUUUCCUCAUAUAAACAUUCAGCUGGUUUUACUAAGGGCUCUUUUGUUCAACUUGAAGAAUACCAAGUUGUUAUGUUGUUUGUAUGUAUAAGUCACAGUGAGGGCUGCUUAAUCAAUUCAUAGGUUGCAUGGGCGUUAUUUUUGUCAAAUAAUCUCCCUGUACAUUUGCCAAUCUCAUUAAAACCCAUUAAAAUAUUUUGGUUUGAGGUUUUUAGUUGUGGUGAUAAUGAACAUAAG
Molecule: unclassified non-coding RNA, 767 nt
Filed under: Hevea brasiliensis (rubber tree)
Lineage: Eukaryota; Viridiplantae; Streptophyta; Magnoliopsida; Malpighiales; Euphorbiaceae
Source: RNAcentral